GGUCUUAGCAAUGCUUAUUGAGGCUAGGUGGUGUGAUAACUUUUUAUCCCGUUGCAAUGCACGGGCAUUUUUGCUAGUUUAUAUAAAAUAAAAAUCUCUCAGCUCAGUCGUUCCCCUCCAACAUCCUUAUCCAUCCGCAUGCACCACCUCUUCCAUUAGGUACUGGCGCAGUUUGACGUUGAGCCAAGUACGCGGACGCGUCCAUCGCGUUCUCGAGGAUGUGGAUCCUCGACGACCUCGUGGAGUCCGGCAGAGAGUUCUCAAGGGUUUCGGCCAAGAUGGUGACCUCUUCUUGGCCUACGGCUAGAUGUCCAUGGCACAGGUGUUGUAGUUUGGCCGAGUGGAGGAGGCUGCGAGGGAAAUCACCGUGUCACCUGCCGAGUUUGUUGAGCAGCUCACCUGUGUCAGCGAGAUGCCAUUGAUUUGCUUAUAUCUAGUCUUUCUUUUAAGUUAUUGAUGAAGAAGGGUCUUAUCUCGUAUCACGGAGAUUGAUGGUAUCAUUUAUUGGAAUUCUGAUGCAUUACCUGGUCUGACUGGUUUCCGUGCCUCAUUGUAGCCAGGAGUGCUUUGGCGUCAUUUCUUCCGGCGUCAAUUCGAGCCGGCAUCGCUUCGUCGGGCGUCGAGCGUGCUUUCGCGUGAUUUGCCGAGCGUCCAGUCAAGCGGCUGGAGGUGGUUUUGCGUUUGGAUGUUGAGUCUCAUGUGGCGUGUUCAAGUCAUCGGCACCGGCUUGUAAUUGUUUGGUGGGUCCUUGUGCGUCCGUGUGUACUUAUUUAUAUAUGGGUUGUAUUUGGUUGUGGUGGCCGAGACUGGUCAGAAAUCAGAUGCCAACACCGUGUGCAAAUCAGACUUGUUUUAUUUGCGUGUAUUCGUUCCUGAUCUGGAACUUUCCUCACAUGAGGUGGUUGCCCUAGUUAGUUAAUAAUAGGUUCCUUAUUUGUUUAGGUUUGACUAAUAUUCUUCAUAAGCAUUGCCUUAAUUCUA
This is a long non-coding RNA of Aegilops tauschii subsp. strangulata, 981 nucleotides long. RefSeq lists it as uncharacterized. NCBI's taxonomy places the organism in Eukaryota, Viridiplantae, Streptophyta, Magnoliopsida, Poales, Poaceae. The record is from RefSeq and is a predicted model, not a curated record.